This 433-nucleotide ribosomal RNA is filed under the name uncultured bacterium. RNAcentral's name for it is "partial 16S ribosomal RNA". It matches the Rfam family "Bacterial small subunit ribosomal RNA", at positions 29 to 507 of the family's 1533-position model. The record is from RNAcentral.
AGCGAACGCUGGCGGCAGGCCUAACACAUGCAAGUCGAACGAACUCUUCGGAGUUAGUGGCGGACGGGUGCGUAACACGUGGGAACGUGCCUUUAGGUUCGGAAUAACUCAGGGAAACUUGUGCUAAUACCGAAUGUGCCCUUCGGGGGAAAGAUUUAUCGCCUUUAGAGCGGCCCGCGUCUGAUUAGCUAGUUGGUGAGGUAAAGGCUCACCAAGGCGACGAUCAGUAGCUGGUCUGAGAGGAUGAUCAGCCACAUUGGGACUGAGACACGGCCCAAACUCCUACGGGAGGCAGCAGUGGGGAAUCUUGCGCAAUGGGCGAAAGCCUGACGCAGCCAUGCCGCGUGAAUGAUGAAGGUCUUAGGAUUGUAAAAUUCUUUCACCGGGGACGAUAAUGACGGUACCCGGAGAAGAAGCCCCGGCUAACUUCGUG